RNAcentral lists this small RNA (625 nucleotides) under Arabidopsis thaliana (thale cress). Its description in RNAcentral is "ATSL166970". Lineage: Eukaryota; Viridiplantae; Streptophyta; Magnoliopsida; Brassicales; Brassicaceae. The record is from RNAcentral.
AAAAUAGUAAAACGUGUGUAAAGUUGAUCCUAUCUACGGCACAAUAUAGUUUCUAGAAGUUAUCUCUGCCCUUUAUCGCUUACAACCAACUUGAUAGUGAUUUUUGGAUUUUUUGUACUACAAUAUCUUGUUCUAGAAGCACAAAACAAAAGAAAACUAGAAAACUACUGUUUCGAAUGUUUUAAUCACAAUUGACCACGGAUCACAAAACAAAAUAAAGAUUACUUGUAUGAAAAGAAACUUACUUCCCUUGUGAAAUUUGUUUCCUGUUCGUUACACUCUCGAUCUUUAGCUAAUAGCUAUAGUCUAUUGAUCUCUUUGCUUUUGUUUAUAAAUCUAGAUAUAAUAUCUUAUUAUAUAAAGUAUGGUUUUCAAAGUUACUAAUUCAUAGGAUCGUGCCACGUGUCAAGUCAAACGAUCAGAUGUUUACAUGUGUCAUUCAAAAUUUAAUUUUUUAUUCUCUUAAAAAAAUAGAAAAUCUUAAAAAGUAAACAAAUUUACAUAUACUAAUUUAUAUGUCUAUAUAUUUAUAAACAAUUAACAUUUAUUCAAUAAAAGGAAAAUUAUCAAAUUUGUUUUUACAUGUGUUAUUGGUCAUUUAAAUGUAGCACAUAUUAAUUUACAU